CGCAGCCGCGGUAAUUCCAGCUCCAAUAGCGUAUAUUAAAGUUGUUGCAGUUAAAAGCUCGUAGUUGAAUUUCGGAAUCUGUCCAUCGGUCGGGCUUCACUGUCCGUACUGGUGUGGUGGGUUCUUACCUUCUGAAUAACCAGCAUGCCAUUCACUUGGUGCGCUGGGGAAGCAGGACUAUUACCUUGAAAAAUUGAGUGCUCAAAGCAGGCUAGUGCCUGAAUACAUUAGCAUGGAAUAAUAAAAUAGGACGGCAUGGUUUUAUUUGUUGGUUUCUAGGAUCACCGUAAUGAUUAAUAGGGAUAGUUGGGGGCAUUAGUAUUCAAUUGUCAGAGGUGAAAUUCUUGGAUUUAUUGAAGACUAACUUCUGCGAAAGCAUUUGCCAAGGAUGUUUUCAUUAAUCAAGAACGAAGUUAGGGAUCGAAGACGAUCAGAUACCGUCGUAGUCUUAACCAUAAACUAUGCCGACUAGGGAUCGGACGAUGUUAAUUUUUAAUGUACUCGUUCGGUCCG
RNAcentral lists this unclassified non-coding RNA (513 nucleotides) under uncultured Acaulospora. Its description in RNAcentral is "SSU rRNA". It matches the Rfam family "Eukaryotic small subunit ribosomal RNA", at positions 569 to 1087 of the family's 1831-position model. Lineage: Eukaryota; Fungi; Glomeromycota; Glomeromycetes; Diversisporales; Acaulosporaceae. The record is from RNAcentral.